This 253-nucleotide ribosomal RNA is filed under the name uncultured bacterium. Its description in RNAcentral is "partial 16S ribosomal RNA". It matches the Rfam family "Bacterial small subunit ribosomal RNA", at positions 524 to 776 of the family's 1533-position model. The record is from RNAcentral.
UACGUAGGGGGCGAGCGUUGUCCGGAAUUACUGGGCGUAAAGCGCGCGCAGGCGGCCUGCUCAGUCGGUCGUGAAAGGCCCCGGCUCAACUGGGGAGGGUCGACCGGGACGGGCAGGCUCGAGGGUGUCAGAGGGGGGUGGAAGGCCGGGUGGAGCGGUGAAAUGCGUAGAGAUCCGGCGGAACACCAGCGGCGCAGGCGGCCCCCUGGGGCACAACUGACGCUGAGGCGCGAAGGCCAGGGGAGCGAACGGG